This is a long non-coding RNA of Sinocyclocheilus rhinocerous, 140 nucleotides long. RefSeq lists it as uncharacterized. Lineage: Eukaryota; Metazoa; Chordata; Actinopteri; Cypriniformes; Cyprinidae. The record is from RefSeq and is a predicted model, not a curated record. The transcript is spliced from 3 exons.
CAUGCAGGAUACUUUGAAGAUGCAGAAAGAACAGAUGGAAGAGGACACAAAAUGGUUAAAGAAGGAGGAGAAGCUUCUGGACCCAAUGGUUCAUGAAGACACAAGUAUUCAGGAGACACCUGAACCACCACUUAGUUAUG